UUUAAUUGUUUACCAUUCAAGAUAUAGUUAAAAAUCAAUUGAACUUUAAGCUCUUUUACAUUUUUUUGAGUAUUGAAACUAUUGAAUAUAAGGAGGUCUUAUAAAAAAAAUUCGUCUGAUUAUUCUACAUGAUAUAGGUUAAAAUACUACAUGAUAUAGGUUAAAUUUUAACCUACACUUAAGUUUACAGUAUGGUCAGCUCAUGAUGUCUAAUGAUAUCCUUGUGCACUGACCACUCAUGCUCCCCACUAGCUGGUCUAUCUCCAAGAUAAUGGCAAUCUUUUAGAACACGAGAGAAGCAUUUAGGUAAGUUUCAUUACCUUAUGCAAUCCUCCAUUUCUUUCCACAUUACUUAUCCUGAUAGAAUCACAUCAUUUGUAUUUUGAUUUUACUUAUCCACAUAGUUAAUGCGCAUGCUAACUUAAUUGUCCAUUUCCUCUUGCAGUGGCGAAGCUAGUAUUGU
This 463-nucleotide long non-coding RNA is filed under the name Citrus x clementina. RNAcentral describes it as "Citrus clementina (C. clementina) long non-coding RNA (CCLE_LNC004389)". Lineage: Eukaryota; Viridiplantae; Streptophyta; Magnoliopsida; Sapindales; Rutaceae. The record is from RNAcentral.